RNAcentral lists this ribosomal RNA (497 nucleotides) under uncultured bacterium. Its description in RNAcentral is "partial 16S ribosomal RNA". It matches the Rfam family "Bacterial small subunit ribosomal RNA", at positions 28 to 507 of the family's 1533-position model. The record is from RNAcentral.
GACGAACGCUGGCGGCGUGCCUAAUACAUGCAAGUUGAGCGCUGAAGGUUGGUACUUGUACCAACUGGAUGAGCAGCGAACGGGUGAGUAACGCGUGGGGAAUCUGCCUUUGAGCGGGGGACAACAUUUGGAAACGAAUGCUAAUACCGCAUAAAAACUUUAAACACAAGUUUUAAGUUUGAAAGAUGCAAUUGCAUCACUCAAAGAUGAUCCCGCGUUGUAUUAGCUAGUUGGUGAGGUAAAGGCUCACCAAGGCGAUGAUACAUAGCCGACCUGAGAGGGUGAUCGGCCAAAUUGGGACUGAGACACGGCCCAAACUUCUACGGGAGGGAGCAGUAGGGAAUCUUCGGCAAUGGACGAAAGGCUGACCGAGCAACGCCGCGUGAGUGAAGAAGGGUUUCGGAUCGGAAAACCCUGUUGGUAGAGAAGAAAGUUGGGGAGAGUGGAAAGCUCAUAAAGUGACGGUAACUAACCAGAAAGGGACGGCUAACUACGUG